This 77-nucleotide transfer RNA is filed under the name Holophagales bacterium. RNAcentral's name for it is "tRNA-Glu". It matches the Rfam family "tRNA". Rfam says of the family: Transfer RNA (tRNA) molecules are approximately 80 nucleotides in length. The record is from RNAcentral. Lineage: Bacteria; Pseudomonadati; Acidobacteriota; Holophagae; Holophagales.
GCCCCCAUCGUCUAGCCAGGUCAGGACACCGCCCUUUCAAGGCGGCGACGCGGGUUCGAAUCCCGCUGGGGGUACCA